Molecule: ribosomal RNA, 24 nt
Filed under: Scorpidium cossonii
Lineage: Eukaryota; Viridiplantae; Streptophyta; Bryopsida; Hypnales; Amblystegiaceae
Description: partial 18S ribosomal RNA
Source: RNAcentral
AGNGAACCUGCGGAAGGAUCAUUG